RNAcentral lists this ribosomal RNA (424 nucleotides) under Verrucomicrobiota bacterium. RNAcentral's name for it is "Verrucomicrobia bacterium partial 16S ribosomal RNA". It matches the Rfam family "Bacterial small subunit ribosomal RNA", at positions 355 to 776 of the family's 1533-position model. The record is from RNAcentral. Lineage: Bacteria; Pseudomonadati; Verrucomicrobiota.
UGAGGAAUAUUGGUCAAUGGACGAGAGUCUGAACCAGCCAAGUAGCGUGCAGGAUGACGGCCUUAUGGGUUGUUAACUGCUUUUGUUUGGGAAUAAUCGACCUUACGUGUAAUGUUUUGCAUGUACCAUUCGAAUAAGGACCGGCUAAUUCCGUGCCAGCAGCCGCGGUAAUACGGAUGGUACAUGCGUUAUCUGGAUUUAUUGGGUUUAAAGGGAGUGUAGGCUGUUGGUUAAGCGUGUUGUGAAAUGUAGAUGCUCAACAUCUGACUUGCAUCACGACCUGUCUAACUUGAGUACACACAACGUAGGCGGAAUACAUGGUGUAGCGGUGAAAUGCUUAUAUAUCAUGAAGAACUCCGAUUGCGAAGGCAGCUAUCGGCAGUAUUACAGACGCUUAAGAUUGAAGGUAAGGGUAUCGAUCAGG